RNAcentral lists this ribosomal RNA (393 nucleotides) under uncultured bacterium. Its description in RNAcentral is "partial 16S ribosomal RNA". It matches the Rfam family "Bacterial small subunit ribosomal RNA", at positions 523 to 918 of the family's 1533-position model. The record is from RNAcentral.
AUACGGAGGACGCAAGCGUUAUCCGGAUUCAUUGGGUUUAAAGGGUGCGCAGGCGGCCGUGCAAGUCAGCGGUGAAAGCCCGGGGCCUAACCCCGGAAGUGCCGUUGAUACUGCAUGGUUUGAAUGCGGUCGAGGCGGGCGGGACGUGGCGGGUAGUGGGGAAAUGGGUAGAUAUGCCACAGAACGACGAUAGCGGAGGCAGCUCGCCAGGCCUGCAUUGACGCUCGGGCACGAAAGCGUGGGGAUCGAACAGGAUUAGAUACCCUGGUAGUCCACGCCGUAAACGAUGGGCGCUCGUCGUCGGCGGCAGACAGUCGGCGGCCAAGCGAAAGCGAUAAGCGCCCCACCUGGGGAGUACGGUCGCAAGGCUGUAACUUAAAGGAAUUGACGGGG